Molecule: ribosomal RNA, 506 nt
Filed under: uncultured bacterium
Lineage: Bacteria
Description: partial 16S ribosomal RNA
Rfam family: Bacterial small subunit ribosomal RNA
Source: RNAcentral
GAUGAACGCUAGCUACAGGCUUAACACAUGCAAGUCGAGGGGUAACGAGAGGAAAGCUUGCUUUCCUUGUCGACGACCGGCGCACGGGUGAGUAACGCGUAUCCAACCUGCCCCCAACUAAGGAAUAACCUUGCGAAAGUAAGACUAAUACCUUAUAAUUUCCUCAGAUGUCAUCUGACGAGGAAUAAAGAUUUAUCGGUUGUGGAUGGGGAUGCGUCUGUUUAGCUUGUUGGCGGGGUAACGGCCCACCAAGGCAACGAUCAGUAGGGGUUCUGAGAGGAAGGUCCCCCACAUUGGAACUGAGACACGGUCCAAACUCCUACGGGAGGCAGCAGUGAGGAAUAUUGGUCAAUGGGCGAAAGCUUGAACCAGCCAAGUAGCGUGCAGGAUGACGGCCCUAUGGGUUGUAAACUGCUUUUAUACAGGAAUAAAGUUAGCCACGUGUGGUUAUUUGUAGGUACUGUAUGAAUAAGGACCGGCUAAUUCCUUGCCAGCAGCCGCCGUAA